Molecule: long non-coding RNA, 443 nt
Organism: Quercus lobata
Lineage: Eukaryota; Viridiplantae; Streptophyta; Magnoliopsida; Fagales; Fagaceae
Exons: 4
Source: RefSeq, a predicted model, not a curated record
CUGGUUUUGUCUACAUGUGGAAGCUUUCUUGGGCAUCUUCCUUUCCCAAGCUUUUUGGCAUCUCCGGCUUUAUUUCCAACACAAACCCACCAGUCCAUACACUCAGAAAGGUAUGGGUACAUAUCUAUUGGAAAUUCUAAAUGAGCGCUUCAGCAAAAAACUGGUUCAAUAUUGAAUGUCAUCCAAGGGGAAGUGGACCCUACUCAGCGUUAGGAAAAAUGCUUGGAGAGAGCUUGCUAUAAAAUGCUACGCUAUGGAGUAAGAUUAAAGUGUAGUUGGGAAUAUAGAACCUUUGGAUCACUUUGUAAGGUGCAAGGUAGAGCAUGGAAGUUGUAGGUGAUUUCAGUAUUACUUGAAGACUUAUAGAAUUUUAGUUACCUUUAUUUUGUAAUUCAUGUUUUAUACGGUGGAGAUUAUUUCCAAUUUGUGGAGUUUAGCUUUUG